UACAGAGGGUGCGAGCGUUAAUCGGAAUUACUGGGCGUAAAGCGCGCGUAGGCGGCUUUGCAAGUCGGUUGUGAAAUCCCCAGGCUUAACCUGGGAACUGCAUUCGAGACUGCAUUGCUAGAGUAUGGGAGAGGGAAGUGGAAUUUCCGGUGUAGCGGUGAAAUGCGUAGAUAUCGGAAGGAACAUCAGUGGCGAAAGCGACUUCCUGGACCAAUACUGACGCUCAUGUGCGAAAGCGUGGGGAGCAAACAGG
RNAcentral lists this ribosomal RNA (253 nucleotides) under uncultured bacterium. Its description in RNAcentral is "partial 16S ribosomal RNA". It matches the Rfam family "Bacterial small subunit ribosomal RNA", at positions 524 to 776 of the family's 1533-position model. The record is from RNAcentral.